RNAcentral lists this ribosomal RNA (253 nucleotides) under uncultured bacterium. RNAcentral describes it as "partial 16S ribosomal RNA". It matches the Rfam family "Bacterial small subunit ribosomal RNA", at positions 524 to 776 of the family's 1533-position model. The record is from RNAcentral.
UACGUAGGGUGCGAGCGUUGUCCGGAAUUAUUGGGCGUAAAGGGCUCGUAGGCGGUUUGUCACGUCAGGAGUGAAAACUCGGGGCCCAACCCCGAGCCUGCUUCUGAUACGGGCAGACUGGAGGUAUGCAGGGGAGAACGGAAUUCCUGGUGUAGCGGUGAAAUGCGCAGAUAUCAGGAGGAACACCGAUGGCGAAGGCAGGUCUCUGGGCCAUUACUGACACUGAGAAGCGAAAGCAUGGGGAGCGAACAGG